RNAcentral lists this ribosomal RNA (253 nucleotides) under uncultured bacterium. RNAcentral describes it as "partial 16S ribosomal RNA". It matches the Rfam family "Bacterial small subunit ribosomal RNA", at positions 524 to 776 of the family's 1533-position model. The record is from RNAcentral.
UACGGAGGGGGCUAGCGUUGUUCGGAAUUACUGGGCGUAAAGCGCACGUAGGCGGAUCGAUCAGCUAGGGGUGAAAUCCCAGAGCUCAACUCUGGAACUGCCUUUAAUACUGCCAGUCUAGAGUCCGGAAGAGGUGAGUGGAACUCCUAGUGUAGAGGUGGAAUUCGUAGAUAUUAGGAAGAACACCAGUGGCGAAGGCGGCUCACUGGUCCGGUACUGACGCUGAGGUGCGAAAGCGUGGGGAACAAACAGG